UGGGGAAUAUUGCGCAAUGGGGGGAACCCUGACGCAGCCAAGCCGCGUGAAUGAAGAAGGCCUUAGGGUUGUAAAGUUCUUUCGGUAUUGAGGAAGGUUGAUGUGUUAAUAGCACAUCAAAUUGACGUUAAAUACAGAAGAAGCACCGGCUAACUCCGUGCCAGCAGCCGCGGUAAUACGGAGGGUGCGAGCGUUAAUCGGAAUAACUGGGCGUAAAGGGCACGCAGGCGGUUAUUUAAGUGAGGUGUGAAAGCCCCGGGCUUAACCUGGGAAUUGCAUUUCAGACUGGGUAACUAGAGUACUUUAGGGAGGGGUAGAAUUCCACGUGUAGCGGUGAAAUGCGUAGAGAUGUGGAGGAAUACCGAAGGCGAAGGCAGCCCCUUGGGAAUGUACUGACGCUCAUGUGCGAAAGCGUGGGGAGCAAACAGGAUUAGAUACCCUGGUAGUCCACGCUGUAAACGCUGUCGAUUUGGGGGUUGGGGUUUAACUCUGGCGCCCGUAGCUAACGUGGUAAAUCGACCGCCUGGGGAGUACGGCCGCAAGGUUA
This 547-nucleotide ribosomal RNA is filed under the name uncultured bacterium. RNAcentral's name for it is "bacterial SSU rRNA". It matches the Rfam family "Bacterial small subunit ribosomal RNA", at positions 355 to 896 of the family's 1533-position model. The record is from RNAcentral.